GGGGCUGGGGCUCAGUGGUCGAGCACUUGCCUGGUAAGCGUGAGGCCCUGGGUUCGAAACUCAGCACCA
This 69-nucleotide transfer RNA is filed under the name Ictidomys tridecemlineatus (thirteen-lined ground squirrel). Its description in RNAcentral is "Spermophilus tridecemlineatus (thirteen-lined ground squirrel) tRNA". It matches the Rfam family "tRNA". From Rfam's summary of the family: Transfer RNA (tRNA) molecules are approximately 80 nucleotides in length. Their secondary structure includes four short double-helical elements and three loops (D, anti-codon, and T loops). Further hydrogen bonds mediate the characteristic L-shaped molecular structure. tRNAs have two regions of fundamental functional importance: the anti-codon, which is responsible for specific mRNA codon recognition, and the 3' end, to which the tRNAs corresponding amino acid is attached (by aminoacyl-tRNA synthetases). tRNAs cope with the degeneracy of the genetic code in two manners: having more than one tRNA (with a specific anti-codon) for a particular amino acid; and 'wobble' base-pairing, i.e. permitting non-standard base-pairing at the 3rd anti-codon position. The record is from Rfam by way of RNAcentral. Lineage: Eukaryota; Metazoa; Chordata; Mammalia; Rodentia; Sciuridae.